UGGGGAAUUUUGGACAAUGGGGGAAACCCUGAUCCAGCCAUGCCGCGUGUCUGAAGAAGGCCUUCGGGUUGUAAAGGACUUUUGUCAGGGAAGAAAAGCCUGCCAUUAAUACUGGUGGGUGUUGACGGUACCUGAAGAAUAAGCACCGGCUAACUACGUGCCAGCAGCCGCGGUAAUACGUAGGGUGCAAGCGUUAAUCGGAAUUACUGGGCGUAAAGCGAGCGCAGACGGUUAUUUAAGUCAGAUGUGAAAUCCCCGAGCUCAACUUGGGACGUGCAUUUGAAACUGGAUAGCUAGAGUGUGUCAGAGGGAGGUAGAAUUCCACGUGUAGCAGUGAAAUGCGUAGAGAUGUGGAGGAAUACCGAUGGCGAAGGCAGCCUCCUGGGAUAACACUGACGUUCAUGCUCGGAAGCGUGGGUAGCAAACAGGAUUAGAUACCCUGGUAGUCCACGCCCUAAACGAUGACAAUUAGCUGUUGGGGUACUUGAUGCCUUAGUAGCGUAGCUAACGCGUGAAAUUGUCCGCCUGGGGAGUACGGUCGCAAGAUUA
This 549-nucleotide ribosomal RNA is filed under the name uncultured Neisseriaceae bacterium. RNAcentral's name for it is "bacterial SSU rRNA". It matches the Rfam family "Bacterial small subunit ribosomal RNA", at positions 355 to 896 of the family's 1533-position model. The record is from RNAcentral. Lineage: Bacteria; Pseudomonadati; Pseudomonadota; Betaproteobacteria; Neisseriales; Neisseriaceae.